UUCCGGUUGAUCCCGCCGGACCUGACUGCUAUCGGAUUGGUACUAAGCCAUGUGAGUCGUUGUAGCAAUACAAGGCAUACGGCUCAGUAACACGUAGUCAAUCUAACCUAUGGACGGGGAUAACCUCGGGAAACUGAGGAUAAACCCCGAUAGAUCAUUAUACCUGGAACGGUUAAUGGUCCAAAUGAUUCGUCGCCGUAGGGUGGGACUGCGGCCUAUCAGCUUGUUGGUGAGGUAAUGGCCCACCAAGGCUAUUACAGGUACGGGCUCUGAGAGGAGAAGCCCGGAGAUGGGUACUGAGACACGGACCCAGGCCCUGUGGGGCGCAGCAGGCGAGAAACCUUUGCAAUGUGCGCAAGCACGACAAGGUUAAUCCGAGUGUUUCCUGCUUAAGGAAUCUUUUGUUAGUUCUAAAACCACUGAUGAAUAAGGGGUGGGCAAGUUCUGGUGUCAGCCGCCGCGGUAAAACCAGCACCUCAAGUGGUCAGGAUGAUUAUUGGGCCUAAAGCAUCCGUAGCCUGUUCUGUAAGUUUCCGGUUAAAUCCAUUAGCUCAACUAAUGGGCUGCCGAAAAUACUGCAGAACUAGGGAGUGGGAGAGGUAGACGGUACUCGGUAGGAAGGGGUAAAAUCCUUUGAUCUAUUGAUGACCACCUGUGGCGAAGGCGGUCUACCAGAACACGUUCGACG
Molecule: ribosomal RNA, 688 nt
Filed under: uncultured archaeon
Lineage: Archaea
Description: bacterial SSU rRNA
Rfam family: Archaeal small subunit ribosomal RNA
Source: RNAcentral